Molecule: ribosomal RNA, 39 nt
Filed under: Haloguignardia irritans
Lineage: Eukaryota; Fungi; Ascomycota; Sordariomycetes; Phyllachorales; Phyllachoraceae
Description: partial 18S ribosomal RNA
Source: RNAcentral
CUUGGUCAUUUAGAGGAAGUAAAAGUCGUAACAAGGUCU